UAGUAAACUAUGACGAAGAGAGUAAAUGUAAAAAUUUUUCUAGGGAGAAAAGGUCAAGGACUGAAAGCUUUUUUAUUAAUUUUUAUAUUGAAGUUCGCUUCUGAGUUCUAAUUGUGAAAUUUAGUAGCAAUUAGCGGACAUGAACCGAUAUUCAUAGAGCUGGAUACUUUUGUAUCAACAAGGGUGGCAUCGCGGAGUAAAGUUCGUCCCUAUU
Regulatory RNA element from Clostridium tetani E88, 214 nucleotides. It matches the Rfam family "T-box leader". Rfam says of the family: Uncharged tRNA acts as the effector for transcription antitermination of genes in the T-box leader family. T-boxes are found upstream of many aminoacyl-tRNA synthetase genes and some amino acid biosynthetic genes usually in Gram-positive bacteria. The record is from Rfam. NCBI's taxonomy places the organism in Bacteria, Bacillati, Bacillota, Clostridia, Eubacteriales, Clostridiaceae.